Molecule: ribosomal RNA, 798 nt
Filed under: uncultured marine microorganism
Description: bacterial SSU rRNA
Rfam family: Bacterial small subunit ribosomal RNA
Source: RNAcentral
AGAGUUUGAUCAUGGCUCAGAUUGAACGCUGGCGGCAGGCCUAACACAUGCAAGUCGAACGGUAACAUUUCUAGCUUGCUAGAAGAUGACGAGUGGCGGACGGGUGAGUAAUGCUUGGGAGCUUGCCUUUGCGAGGGGGAUAACAGUUGGAAACGACUGCUAAUACCGCAUAACGUCUACGGACCAAACGGGGCUUAGGCUCCGGCGCAAAGAGAGGCCCAAGUGAGAUUAGCUAGUUGGUAAGGUAAUGGCUUACCAAGGCAACGAUCUCUAGCUGUUCUGAGAGGAAGAUCAGCCACACUGGAACUGAGACACGGUCCAGACUCCUACGGGAGGCAGCAGUGGGGAAUAUUGCACAAUGGGGGAAACCCUGAUGCAGCCAUGCCGCGUGUGUGAAGAAGGCCUUCGGGUUGUAAAGCACUUUCAGUUGUGAGGAAAAGUUAGUCGUUAAUACCUGCUAGCCGUGACGUUAACAACAGAAGAAGCACCGGCUAACUCCGUGCCAGCAGCCGCGGUAAUACGGAGGGUGCGAGCGUUAAUCGGGAUUACUGGGCGUAAAGCGCACGCAGGCGGUUUGUUAAGCUAGAUGUGAAAGCCCCGGGCUCAACCUGGGAUAGUCAUUUAGAACUGGCAGACUAGAGUCUUGGAGAGGGGAGUGGAAUUCCAGGUGUAGCGGUGAAAUGCGUAGAUAUCUGGAGGAACAUCAGUGGCGAAGGCGACUCCCUGGCCAAAGACUGACGCUCAUGUGNCGAAGUGUGGGUAGCGAACAGGAUUAGAUACCCUGGUAGUCCACACCGU